RNAcentral lists this ribosomal RNA (504 nucleotides) under uncultured bacterium. RNAcentral describes it as "bacterial SSU rRNA". It matches the Rfam family "Bacterial small subunit ribosomal RNA", at positions 791 to 1301 of the family's 1533-position model. The record is from RNAcentral.
UAGUCCACGCCGUAAACGAUGGAUACUAGUUGUUGGAUUUUCGGAUUCAGUGACUAAGCGAAAGUGAUAAGUAUCCCACCUGGGGAGUACGGUCGCAAGAUUGAAACUCAAAGGAAUUGACGGGGGCCCGCACAAGCGGUGGAGCAUGUGGUUUAAUUCGAUGAUACGCGAGGAACCUUACCAGGGCUUAAAUGUAAGUUGCAUAGAGUAGAGAUAUUCUUUUCUUCGGACUACUUACAAGGUGCUGCAUGGUUGUCGUCAGCUCGUGCCGUGAGGUGUCAGGUUAAGUCCUAUAACGAGCGCAACCCCUACCGUUAGUUGCCAGCAUGUAAAGAUGGGGACUCUAGCGGGACUGCCAGUGCAAACUGUGAGGAAGGUGGGGAUGACGUCAAAUCAUCACGGCCCUUACGUCCUGGGCUACACACGUGCUACAAUGGUAUAGACAGAGAGCAGCCACUACGCGAGUAGGAGCGAAUCUACAAACUAUAUCUCAGUUCGGAUCGG